CUCCACACGCGACAAUAGAACUCCGGAACUCCGAUAAUUUGAGCUGCGACUGUGCAACCAACUUCAAAACUCAUGCCCAGAUGUCACUAGUGUCACCCUUGUUGUUUUUACAAUUUACAUCGUCAAACGAGGCAAAAUGGGUGAAACAAUUGGAUGCUAAUUAAUACUUAUAUUCCUGUGAUUUCAUAUACCAAAUUGAACUUCGUAUCAUAUAUGCAUACUGUCAGUCAUUCCAAAAAGUUGACUUAGCGCUCAGUCAUUUUCCCUCCAAUAGACCCAUCAUGUUGUCAAAAGCCUAAAACUCAUAUGUGAAGCUCACAUAUGGUGGAAUACAAAUGUGUGGAGACAAGGUAUUUCCCCAUUACUGCUACCACCCCAACCACACCACGUCAAAUGCCUUACUAAAUUCAGCACCAUUCACCCAUAUGAUAAAGGAAAUUUACCUCAACCUAAGGAGUAAGGCUGUUGGUUGCUGUGAUUUCCAUUUAAUUGCGGUUUUUUAUCAUGAAAAUCUUCAGUGUGCUUCUUAGUAUAGAGCAUGUAAUAGAUCCUUAAGCCAAUGCUGACCUUUGUCCAUGAAGGAAGAGGGACAUCCAGCAACGUUCUGCUCCAUCCUUAUCUUCCUGACGUACACUCAUCUAGCUUCACUGCUUUUGCUGCUACAACUUCACCGACGAGUGUCUUACUUCACCGACGAGUUGGAACACUUCAGUGGUCGCUACCCUUUGCUGAUACACACCUACAGUUACUCACCACGGGAUUAUGCCCAGGUAAUGCAGAAGAGACGUCGAGAAGAUGGACACCAAAACAUCGCCGAUAUCUCCAAAUUGUCAGCGUGGAUCAUCAUUUGUUGUUGGUAAUAUGUUUGUGUUAGUGUUAGUUAACCCGUUGUCUGCCACGCCUUUGUCCUCUCCUAGCUCCUUAGCACGGGCUGCGUGCGCUGUUCG
RNAcentral lists this long non-coding RNA (947 nucleotides) under Daphnia pulicaria. RNAcentral describes it as "uncharacterized LOC124312230". The record is from RNAcentral. Lineage: Eukaryota; Metazoa; Arthropoda; Branchiopoda; Diplostraca; Daphniidae.